Chinchilla lanigera (long-tailed chinchilla) is the source of this 709-nucleotide long non-coding RNA. RefSeq lists it as uncharacterized. The record is from RefSeq and is a predicted model, not a curated record. The transcript has 4 exons. Lineage: Eukaryota; Metazoa; Chordata; Mammalia; Rodentia; Chinchillidae.
GUUAAAUCCCCAGCACCACGCCUUGUGCACACACACACAAAGAUUGUCUGGGACAAGGCCAGCUGGAAUUAGUGACAAAUCUGAAGCAGAGAACAUUGACAAAGGCUGCUUCAUUGCCGGUGAUGACUCACGAUAAUUCAAAGGCGAUAAUUUAAAAGCGGCUCCCUGGGUCAAGGAGAGCUUUAGUUAGUGAAUAGAUGGCGUUACCUUUUUAAUGUGACCCUAGAGAGGGUCGUGUCGCAAAGAGCCCACGACACGGCUGGUCCUUAGAGAAGAAACUGAAAAUGCAAGUGCAGCAGUCUCCAUGACCAAGGUUGUCCAAGCGGCAGAUCACCGUGCUAAUAAAUGUCUGGAAGCUAAUGGCCACCACUCUGAGCACCUCCUGUAAUUGUAGAGGCCAAAGCCAUUCUCAGCAUCCUAGGAUUGUCCUGCCCAUGGGCCAGGCCUGCUGCCAUUCUUGGGAAAGUGCUCCCCCUGCUGGCAGAGUUGGAGAUGACUCCCAGUCAGGACACCAUCCCAGCCCUUUCUUCGUGCUGCCUUCCCUGGGAGGGAGCUCUCUCACCGCAAAAGAGGCAAUUCAAACCUCAGUCCCAGUGCCCUUCUCCCCUCUCCAGAGCCUUUAUAUAUCUCACAAGAAUGCUGUUUGGGCAUGGUGGCACACACCUGCAAUCUCAGCACUCUGAAAGGCUGAGGCAGGAGGAUCAUAAUU